This 645-nucleotide ribosomal RNA is filed under the name Triticum aestivum (bread wheat). Its description in RNAcentral is "partial small subunit ribosomal RNA". The record is from RNAcentral. Lineage: Eukaryota; Viridiplantae; Streptophyta; Magnoliopsida; Poales; Poaceae.
AUGGCCACCUGCCUCUCAGACAUGAUUAGUGACCAUUCUCUAGAUUUUAUUGGUUUGCGAGAAACUAUGAAGAAUUUUUUUACUCCUAAAUGCAUUAGGAUAAUUGACCCUUUUGGUCUAUUCCAUUGGGAAUGGAUUCCAUCUGUUGGGAAGUCUGGUGGCAUUUUAGGAGGAGUGAGGCAAGAUACUAUGGAAAUCACUUCUUGUACCAAAAGGAAAUAUGUUUUGCAGUUAAACCUGCAUGAUAAAAGAAGAAAGCUGACUGGGGCCUGCUGGGGUCUAUGGGCAGCCCAUGAGGAGUUUAAAGAGGAAUUCUUAAUAGAGCUUGCUGCUAGUUGUAGUAGCAUGAUUGUACCUUAUAUUGUGGGGGGUGAUUUCAAUGUCUUGCGCCAUGGUGAUGAGAAAAACAAAAAGAUGCAGAAUAAUAGAGCUACUGACAUCUUCAACUCCAUCAUCAAUGCUUUGGCCCUUAGAGAGAUAUAUAUCAGUGGGGGGAAAUACACUUGGACUAACAACAAAGCCCAUCCUACCCUAGAAAAACUGGACCGCAUCUUGAUGUCUGAAGGUUGGGAGGAUCUUUUUCCUAUGGUCUCUGUCGGGAAAUUGGUUCGGGAAAUUUCAGACCACAACCCUUUGCUUGUCUCU